Molecule: microRNA precursor, 136 nt
Organism: Gossypium arboreum
Lineage: Eukaryota; Viridiplantae; Streptophyta; Magnoliopsida; Malvales; Malvaceae
Rfam family: MIR7502 microRNA precursor family
Source: Rfam
UAUUAAAAUUUUCAUUCAUUUCUACCGUUAAAAAUUGGUAUCACUAAAAAAUAAUCAAAGGGUGACAUGCCACUUGUACCUUAUACAGUCGUACAAAGACCAAUUUUUAACGAUAAAAUCGAUUGAAUUUUUAACA